GGGGUUGUGGCUCAGUGACAGAGCACUUGCCUCACACAUAUGAGGCACUGAGUUCGAUCCUCAGCACCA
RNAcentral lists this transfer RNA (69 nucleotides) under Urocitellus parryii (Arctic ground squirrel). RNAcentral's name for it is "Spermophilus parryii (Arctic ground squirrel) tRNA". It matches the Rfam family "tRNA". From Rfam's summary of the family: Transfer RNA (tRNA) molecules are approximately 80 nucleotides in length. The record is from Rfam by way of RNAcentral. Lineage: Eukaryota; Metazoa; Chordata; Mammalia; Rodentia; Sciuridae. RNAcentral also lists the same sequence under 1 other name.